RNAcentral lists this long non-coding RNA (493 nucleotides) under Coturnix japonica (Japanese quail). Its description in RNAcentral is "lncRNA (ENSCJPG00005010615.1)". Lineage: Eukaryota; Metazoa; Chordata; Aves; Galliformes; Phasianidae. The record is from RNAcentral.
AGAAUCCCUGUCUCAGCCUGAGCUCAGAGAGCACUUGCAGAACUGUUUCCUGUUGAUUGUGCUUUUUGGAAUCCGUUUUUAUACAUCUUCAACUGUGCACUGUCUUUAUCUUGCUCUGAAGAUGGAGAUUCCAGUUUAGCGAAAUAUUAAAACAGAUUUUGAAGAGAUUUUGAAACUGCUUAAAAACGCUUAAAGGCUGUAGACCAAAUGCUGUUUUGCUGUCUGAAGAGAUCGCAGCAAAGGGACAGUAUUGUUAAAGAGGAGCGAUUACAUGGUAAAAAGUCAUAAAACCUUCCAGGAUUCAGAUUCUCAGGGGUUCUGUAGGACAGCUUCCUCUGUUUCCUGUCAGCAUUAUGGAGAAAUGGUGAACCUGGAUUCUUGCCUUUGGGCCGGUCUACAGGCGGACUACCUCACAGAGAAUGCCUCUGACCUUAUGAUUGCGGGAACUGUAGCUGUGAUGACUUUUCUGUCAGCACCUACACAAUUCGCUUGA